This 482-nucleotide ribosomal RNA is filed under the name uncultured bacterium. RNAcentral's name for it is "partial 16S ribosomal RNA". It matches the Rfam family "Bacterial small subunit ribosomal RNA", at positions 29 to 507 of the family's 1533-position model. The record is from RNAcentral.
ACGCACGCUGGCGGCGUGCUUCACCCAUGCCAGUCGCACGCUGAAGCUCAGCUUUUGUUGGGUGGAUGAGUGGCGAACGGGUGAGUAACACGUGAGUAACCUGCCCCCUUCUUUGGGAUAACGCCCGGAAACGGGUGCUAAUACUGGAUAUUCACUGGUCUUCGCAUGGGGGUUGGUGGAAAGGGUUUUUCUGGUGGGGGAUGGGCUCGCGGCCUAUCAGCUUGUUGGUGGGGUGAUGGCCUACCAAGGCUUUGACGGGUAGCCGGCCUGAGAGGGUGACCGGUCACAUUGGGACUGAGAUACGGCCCAGACUCCUACGGGAGGCAGCAGUGGGGAAUAUUGCACAAUGGGCGCAAGCCUGAUGCAGCGACGCCGCGUGAGGGAUGGAGGCCUUCGGGUUGUGAACCUCUUUCGCUCAUGGUCAAGCCACAACAAUGGUUGUGGUGAGGGUAGUGGGUAAAGAAGCGCCGGCUAACUACGUG